AGUGAACGCUGGCGGCAGGCCUAACACAUGCAAGUCGAACGGCAGCACAAGAGAGCUUGCUCUCUGGGUGGCGAGUGGCGGACGGGUGAGGAAUGCAUCGGAAUCUGCCCAUUUGUGGGGGAUAACCUCGGGAAACCGGGACUAAUACCGCAUACGACCUACGGGUGAAAGCAGGGGAUCUUCGGACCUUGCGCAGAUGGAUGAGCCGAUGCCGGAUUAGCUAGUUGGAGGGGUAAAGGCCCACCAAGGCGACGAUCCGUAGCUGGUCUGAGAGGAUGAUCAGCCACACUGUGACUGAGACACGGCCCAGACUCCUACGGGAGGCAGCAGUGGGGAAUAUUGGACAAUGGGCGCAAGCCUGAUCCAGCCAUGCCGCGUGUGUGAAGAAGGCCUUCGGGUUGUAAAGCACUUUUGUUGGGAAAGAAAAGCAGCCGGUUAAUACCCGGUUGUCAUGACGGUACCCAAAGAAUAAGCACCGGCUAACUUCGUG
Molecule: ribosomal RNA, 490 nt
Filed under: uncultured bacterium
Lineage: Bacteria
Description: partial 16S ribosomal RNA
Rfam family: Bacterial small subunit ribosomal RNA
Source: RNAcentral